AUGGUUUGUUCCAUAGGUGAACCAGAUGAGCCUAACACCCUUGAAGCAGCAUUGUGUGAUGAAAAGUGGAAGAAAGCUAUGCAUGAAGAAUACAUGGCAUUGACGAGAAACAAAACAUGGCACUUGGUUCCCCCACAGCAAGGUAAAAAUUUGAUUGAUUGCAAGUGGGUUUUCAAGAUCAAGAGGAAAGCUGAUGGAACCAUUGAUCGUUAUAAGGCUAGAUUGGUUGCAAAAGUCUUCAAACAGAGGUAUGUCAUAGACUACAAGGACACCUUCAGUCCAGUAGUAAAGGCGGCCACUAUUCACCUUGUCUUAUCUAUUGCU
Molecule: ribosomal RNA, 324 nt
Filed under: Triticum aestivum (bread wheat)
Lineage: Eukaryota; Viridiplantae; Streptophyta; Magnoliopsida; Poales; Poaceae
Description: partial small subunit ribosomal RNA
Source: RNAcentral